GUGUCUGGUGGGUAGUUUGACUGGGGCGGUCUCCUCCUAAAGAGUAACGGAGGAGCACGAAGGUUGGCUAAUCCUGGUCGGACAUCAGGAGGUUAGUGCAAUGGCAUAAGCCAGCUUGACUGCGAGCGUGACGGCGCGAGCAGGUGCGAAAGCAGGUCAUAGUGAUCCGGUGGUUCUGAAUGGAAGGGCCAUCGCUCAACGGAUAAAAGGUACUCCGGGGAUAACAGGCUGAUACCGCCCAAGAGUUCAUAUCGACGGCGGUGUUUGGCACCUCGAUGUCGGCUCAUCACAUCCUGGGGCUGAAGUAGGUCCCAAGGGUAUGGCUGUUCGCCAUUUAAAGUGGUACGCGAGCUGGGUUUAGAACGUCGUGAGACAGUUCGGUCCCUAUCUGCCGUGGGCGCUGGAGAACUGAGGGGGGCUGCUCCUAGUACGAGAGGACCGGAGUGGACGCAUCACUGGUGUUCGGGUUGUCAUGCCAAUGGCACUGCCCGGUAGCUAAAUGCGGAAGAGAUAAGUGCUGAAAGCAUCUAAGCACGAAACUUGCCCCGAGAUGAGUUCUCCCUGAGACUUAGAGUCUCCUGAAGGAACGUUGAAGACGACGACGUUGAUAGGCCGGGUGUGUAAGCGCAGCGAUGCGUUGAGCUAACCGGUACUAAUGAACCGUGAGGCUUAACCUUA
This 678-nucleotide ribosomal RNA is filed under the name Salmonella enterica. RNAcentral describes it as "partial 23S ribosomal RNA". It matches the Rfam family "Bacterial large subunit ribosomal RNA", at positions 2254 to 2925 of the family's 2925-position model. The record is from RNAcentral. Lineage: Bacteria; Pseudomonadati; Pseudomonadota; Gammaproteobacteria; Enterobacterales; Enterobacteriaceae. RNAcentral also lists the same sequence under 1 other name.